RNAcentral lists this ribosomal RNA (507 nucleotides) under uncultured bacterium. Its description in RNAcentral is "partial 16S ribosomal RNA". It matches the Rfam family "Bacterial small subunit ribosomal RNA", at positions 28 to 506 of the family's 1533-position model. The record is from RNAcentral.
GACGAACGCUGGCGGCGUGCCUAAUACAUGCCAGUCGAACGCUUCUUUCCUCCCGAGUGCUUGCACUCAAUUGGAAAGAGGAGUGGCGGACGGGUGAGUAACACGUGGGUAACCUACCCAUCAGAGGGGGAUAACACUUGGAAACAGGUGCUAAUACCGCAUAACAGUUUAUGCCGCAUGGCAUAAGAGUGAAAGGCGCUUUCGGGUGUCGCUGAUGGAUGGACCCGCGGUGCAUUAGCUAGUUGGUGAGGUAACGGCUCACCAAGGCCACGAUGCAUAGCCGACCUGAGAGGGUGAUCGGCCACACUGGGACUGAGACACGGCCCAGACUCCUACGGGAGGCAGCAGUAGGGAAUCUUCGGCAAUGGACGAAAGUCUGACCGAGCAACGCCGCGUGAGUGAAGAAGGGUUUCGGAUCGUAAAACUCUGUUGUUAGAGAAGAACAAGGACGUUAGUAACUGAACGUCCCCUGACGGGAUCUAACCAGAAAGCCACGGCUAACUACGU